CCUACGGGUGGCAGCAGUGAGGAAUAUUGGUCAAUGGGCGCGAGCCUGAACCAGCCAAGUAGCGUGAAGGAUGACUGCCCUAUGGGUUGUAAACUUCUUUUAUAAAGGAAUAAAGUGAGGUAUGUAUGCUUUUUUGCAUGUACCUUAUGAAUAAGGAUCGGCUAACUCCGUGCCAGCAGCCGCGGUAAUACGGAGGAUCCGAGCGUUAUCCGGAUUUAUUGGGUUUAAAGGGAGCGUAGACGGGUUGUUAAGUCAGUUGUGAAAGUUUGCGGCUCAACCGUAAAAUUGCAGUUGAUACUGGCAUUCUUGAGUACAGUUGAGGUAGGCGGAAUGCGUGGUGUAGCGGUGAAAGGCUUAGAUAUCACGAAGAACUCCGAGUGCGAAGGCAGCUUACUGGACUGCAACUGACAUUGAUGCUCGAAAGUGUGGGUAUCAAACAGGAUUAGAUACCCUGGUAGUC
Molecule: ribosomal RNA, 460 nt
Filed under: uncultured bacterium
Lineage: Bacteria
Description: partial 16S ribosomal RNA
Rfam family: Bacterial small subunit ribosomal RNA
Source: RNAcentral